This is a long non-coding RNA of Carlito syrichta (Philippine tarsier), 916 nucleotides long. RefSeq lists it as uncharacterized. The transcript has 3 exons. Lineage: Eukaryota; Metazoa; Chordata; Mammalia; Primates; Tarsiidae. The record is from RefSeq and is a predicted model, not a curated record.
CAGGCCACUGCUCUUGCAAAACCUUAGCUGCAGAACCCACAUGUGGCUCCUCAGAGGUGAGUCCACCAUCCCACGGAUGCUGCCUGCCUCUUAAUGGCCGCUGUCAAGUCCAUCUGAUGUUCAUUGGCAAAGUCCUGUGGAUAAACUCCCCAAAAAUCCUCAGCUCUAUGAUGUGGUCGUCGUUUGACACACUGCCUUAAGUGUAUGUUCUUUGAUGACACAGUACUACUUAUUAAGACGAAUUUACUGUCUAAGUCGCAGGCAAGCAUUUCACUAUGAGUGAUACCUGGUCACAUGAAGAACCAGAAGAGUCAUAAUGAAAUUCCUUUUCCCUUGUGGAAAAAUGGAUCCAAGGAUUCAACCAGCAAGUGGCGAAUCAAUGAAAAGCAGUGACAAGGGAUACCCAGAGGCCUCCUGGCACCUCCACCUGCGAGGGACUCACGAACAGCCUCAGACCGUCACGCCUGAGAGAAGCAACUCUCCUCCUUUGAUUUCUCAGUGCUUCUUUCAGUUCUAAGCUCCUGCCUCGCUUACAGAAAAUUUUCACUCCUAAUGAUCAGCCAUCAAAAAGGAGGAAAUAAUGUCUUCUGUAGCACCUUGGAUGGAACUGGAAGUCAUCCUCCUAAGUGAACUCACUCAGGAACAGAAAACCAAACACCGCACCUUCUUACUUAUAACCUAACUGAGGAUCCGCAAAGGCACCCAGGAUGGUAUAAUGGACACUGGAGACUCAGAAGGGGGGAGCGGGGGAAAAGGUGGGGGGGACACACAAAAAUCACCUCUAGCGUACAACGUGCACAGGUGAGGGUGGUGGGGACACUUAAAGCCCAGACUUCUUCUCUGCUGUACAAGACAUCUGUUUAACCAAGAAGGAUUUGUACCCCCUGAAACUAUUGAAAUAAAGAAAAAAGAGAUA